CAGCCGCCGCGGUAAUACGAAGGGGGCUAGCGUUGUUCGGAAUUACUGGGCGUAAAGCGCACGUAGGCGGAUAUUUAAGUCAGGGGUGAAAUCCCGCAGCUCAACUGCGGAACUGCCUUUGAUACUGGGUAUCUUGAGUAUGGAAGAGGUUAGUGGAAUUGCGAGUGUAGAGGUGAAAUUCGUAGAUAUUCGCAGGAACACCAGUGGCGAAGGCGGCUAACUGGUCCAUAACUGACGCUGAGGUGCGAAAGCAUGGGGAGCAAACAGGAUUAGAUACCCCCGUAGUCCCUGUCUCUUAUAC
RNAcentral lists this ribosomal RNA (301 nucleotides) under uncultured bacterium. Its description in RNAcentral is "partial 16S ribosomal RNA". It matches the Rfam family "Bacterial small subunit ribosomal RNA", at positions 509 to 807 of the family's 1533-position model. The record is from RNAcentral.